This 253-nucleotide ribosomal RNA is filed under the name uncultured bacterium. RNAcentral's name for it is "partial 16S ribosomal RNA". It matches the Rfam family "Bacterial small subunit ribosomal RNA", at positions 524 to 776 of the family's 1533-position model. The record is from RNAcentral.
UACGUAGGGCGCAAGCGUUGUCCGGAAUUAUUGGGCGUAAAGAGCUCGUAGGCGGCUUGUCGCGUCGGAUGUGAAAGCCCGGGGCUUAACUCCGGGUCUGCAUUCGAUACGGGCAGGCUAGAGUUCGGUAGGGGAGAUCGGAAUUCCUGGUGUAGCGGUGAAAUGCGCAGAUAUCAGGAGGAACACCGGUGGCGAAGGCGGGUCUCUGGGCCGAUACUGACGCUGAGGAGCGAAAGCGUGGGGAGCGAACAGG